AUGGUGGAGGUGAAGCGCAGACAGCGAGAGCGUACUCAGAUCGCGACCAAACGACGUUCCACCGCCACCUGCUCCUCACGAGACAAAGACAUUGAAGGAGUUGCUCUGGAGUCCAUCCUACAGAGGUUUAACAGCCGCCAGUCCCGCCGUAGAGCCGGGACCAGUUCCCCCUCAUGGGGCAAUCUUACUGAGACCACCAUACCGGAGAAACGCCCCGCUGACAACAGAGAGGUCAAGAGAGACAGCUGGAUCAAAAGUGCCAUGCAAUCCCCUUUGAUUAAGGAGAGCGUUGAUAAAGAUGAGACACCCAAGCACCCAGAGAUUACAAUCUCGAGCUCAGUGCAGAAAAGUGCCAAUUCCUCAAUCAAUCAACGUGUCUCUGUAUUCACGGUGCAGGAGGAAGAAGAUGUGCAGACAGAGACAGAGGUGCAAAAUAUGAGAGAGGUGUCACGGAAAGUUUUGCAAUACCAGUCCAGUCGAAGUAGCAUUUCAUCCAGCGAGCCCCUGUCACCGAUCCUGUCUCCCAGGCAGACAUUCUUCCAGGAAGACAGAAGACUGCUGAUCGUGACCAUAGAAGAAAACGCAUCUAAAUCCAGCUCUCUGCUGCAGAAUGGCCAGAUCAUCAAUCGCCGGCACACAAUCGCACUUCCUGAGGCCAGUUGUGGAAAUACCAGCCAAGAGGAUCUGUUUGUGCCUAGUAAUCUAAACGCAUCUCCGGCUCCUUCUAUAGGUGUUAUUGGAAAAGGGAAAUCUGUGGAUUGCGGUAUGAUUGCCACAUUGCAAAACUCUACAGAGACUGUUAAAGAUUCAGACACCAAGCCACUUAAUUCUCAAGAGGAAUCACAAUCUGUUGACUCAUCACAAUCGGUCGAGCCGGAGGCGAAGACUGAAGAGACAGUGCCUAGCUUGCAGUUUAGUACUGGGAAGAGACAUAGCCAAACAAUAUCAUUUAAAAGCACUAAAGAAGGCUUCAGCCUUAUGUCUUUAUUUAAGCGUUGGCGUGAAAAAGAAUCAAAAUCAAAAGAGCUUGAUUCUGACAGCGUAGACCCAUGA
RNAcentral lists this long non-coding RNA (1053 nucleotides) under Sinocyclocheilus grahami. RNAcentral's name for it is "lncRNA (ENSSGRG00000017447.1)". Lineage: Eukaryota; Metazoa; Chordata; Actinopteri; Cypriniformes; Cyprinidae. The record is from RNAcentral.